Molecule: ribosomal RNA, 253 nt
Filed under: uncultured bacterium
Lineage: Bacteria
Description: partial 16S ribosomal RNA
Rfam family: Bacterial small subunit ribosomal RNA
Source: RNAcentral
UACGAAGGGGGCUAGCGUUGCUCGGAUUGACUGGGCGUAAAGGGCGCGUAGGCGGUUCGUACAGUCAGACGUGAAAUUCCUGGGCUCAACCUGGGGGCUGCGUUUGAUACGUGCGGGCUUGAGUUCGGAAGAGGGUCGUGGAAUUCCCAGUGUAGAGGUGAAAUUCGUAGAUAUUGGGAAGAACACCGGUGGCGAAGGCGGCGACCUGGUCCAUUACUGACGCUGAGGCGCGACAGCGUGGGGAGCAAACAGG